This is a long non-coding RNA of Pan troglodytes (chimpanzee), 813 nucleotides long. RefSeq lists it as uncharacterized. NCBI's taxonomy places the organism in Eukaryota, Metazoa, Chordata, Mammalia, Primates, Hominidae. The transcript has 3 exons. The record is from RefSeq and is a predicted model, not a curated record.
ACUCAGCCCGCCUGCACCCAGGUGAAAUAAACAGCCUUGUUGCUCACACAAAACCCGUUUGGUGGUCUCUUCACAUGGACGCGAAUGAAAUUUGGUGCUGUGACUCGGAUCGGGGGACCUCCCUUGGGAGAUAAAUCCCAUGUCCUCCUGCUCUUUGCUCUGUGAGAAGGAUCCACUUAUGACCUCAGGUCCUCAGACCAACCAGCCCACAGAACAUCUCACCAAUUUUAAAUCGGCCAUGUCCCAUCUGUGUGGGACCCCACUGAAAAUCGGACUCUUCAACUCACCUGGCAGCCACUCCCAGAGCCCCUGGAACUCUGGCCCAAGGCUCUCUGGCUCCUUCCCAGAUCUUCUCGGCUUAGCGGCUGAAGACUGAUGCUGCCCGAUCACCUUGGAAGCCCCCUAGACCAUCAUGGAUGCCAAGCUUCGGGUAACUCUCACAGUGGAGGACAGGAAUGUCAGACCUCUGAGCCCAAGCUAAGCCAUCAUAUCCCCUGUGACCUGUACAUACAUCCAGAUGGCCUGAAGUAACUGAAGAAUCACAAAAGAAGUGAAAAUGGCCUGUUCCUGCCUUAACUGAUGACAUUACCUUGUGAAAUUCCUUCUCCUGGCUCAUCCUGGAUCAAAAGCUCCCACACUGAGCACCUUGUGACCCCUACCCCUGCCAACUAGAAAACAACCCCCUUUGACUGUAAUUUUCCUUUACCUACCCAAAUCCUAUAAAACGGCCCCACCCCUAUCUCCCUUUGCUGACUCUCUUUUCAGACUCAGCCCAUCUGCACCCAGGUGAAAUAAACAGCCCUGUUGCUCACA